RNAcentral lists this ribosomal RNA (732 nucleotides) under uncultured bacterium. Its description in RNAcentral is "bacterial SSU rRNA". It matches the Rfam family "Bacterial small subunit ribosomal RNA", at positions 28 to 776 of the family's 1533-position model. The record is from RNAcentral.
GAUGAACGCUGACAGAAUGCUUAACACAUGCAAGUCUACUUGAAGCUAACUUCGGUUAGUGGAGGGUGGCGGACGGGUGAGUAACGCGUAAAGAACUUGCCUCACAGAUUGGGACAACAUUUGGAAACGAAUGCUAAUACCGGAUAUUAUGAUACUUCCGCAUGGAAGAAUCAUGAAAGCUAUAUGCGCUGUGAGAGAGCUUUGCGUCCCAUUAGCUAGUUGGAGAGGUAACGGCUCACCAAGGCGAUGAUGGGUAGCCGGCCUGAGAGGGUGAACGGCCACAAGGGGACUGAGACACGGCCCUUACUCCUACGGGAGGCAGCAGUGGGGAAUAUUGGACAAUGGACCAAAAGUCUGAUCCAGCAAUUCUGUGUGCACGAUGAAGUUUUUCGGAAUGUAAAGUGCUUUCAGUUGGGAAGAAGCAAGUGACGGUACCAACAGAAGAAGCGACGGCUAAAUACGUGCCAGCGGCCGCGGUAAUACGUAUGUCGCAAGCGUUAUCCGGAUUUAUUGGGCGUAAAGCGCGUCUAGGUGGUUAUAUAAGUCUGAUGUGAAAAUGCGGGGCUCAACUCCGUAUUGCGUUGGAAACUGUAUGACUAGAGUACUGGAGAGGUAAGCGGAACUACAAGUGUAGGGGUGAAAUUCGUAGAUAUUUGUAGGAAUGCCGAUGGGGAAGCCAGCUUACUGGACAGAUACUGACGCUAAAGCGCGAAAGCGUGGGUAGCAAACAGG